Molecule: ribosomal RNA, 425 nt
Filed under: uncultured bacterium
Lineage: Bacteria
Description: partial 16S ribosomal RNA
Rfam family: Bacterial small subunit ribosomal RNA
Source: RNAcentral
GUGGGGAAUAUUGGACAAUGGGCGAAAGCCUGAUCCAGCAAUGCCGCGUGAGUGAUGAAGGCCUUAGGGUUGUAAAGCUCCUUUACCAGGGAUGAUAAUGACAGUACCUGGAGAAUAAGCUCCGGCUAACUCCGUGCCAGCAGCCGCGGUAAUACGGAGGGAGCUAGCGUUGUUCGGAAUUACUGGGCGUAAAGCGCACGUAGGCGGUUACUCAAGUCAGAGGUGAAAGCCCGGGGCUCAACCCCGGAACUGCCUUUGAAACUAGGUAACUGGAAUCUUGGAGAGGUCAGUGGAAUUCCGAGUGUAGAGGUGAAAUUCGUAGAUAUUCGGAAGAACACCAGUGGCGAAGGCGACUGACUGGACAAGUAUUGACGCUGAGGUGCGAAAGCGUGGGGAGCAAACAGGAUUAGAUACCCUAGUAGUCC